AUCAGCUGGCAUGACUUGUUACAAUUUGCAACAAAGCAGACGGCACGUAACAUAGAGUGAUAUUUGAUUACAACACUAGUGGCAUGCUUGGAAUGAGAGACAAAGAGGGCAAAAUCUCACCCCUCGCCCCUGGCAGACGACCGGGAUUUUCCGUUUGCAGUGUCUGGAUUAUUACGCUGGGCUGAGUUUGUGCGCGCUAUACAUAGGUGACCAUUUGGUUUUCCUGCUAUUUGCGGUCCACACGGGAGCACCGGGAAAAACGCGUCCGCACCUUGAUACUUUAACACACACGUGUCCUAGAGGUGUAAUUCUAUGUGUGUGGGUGUGUGGUUUUUGUGCCAGGAUACACCUGUGUGUGGUUGUAAAGCAAUUAUCCAAAUUGCACUUCAAAUUUAACCUCUCUGCUCCCCUUGAGGCAUUUUGGGUCACAAUCUCCCAGAUUUCCAUUAAAAAGGAAAUUGAAAUUUAUAAGUUUCGUGCACUUCUUUUUUAGGGCCAAAACAAUGAAAAUUCUGUAUACGGCCACUACUUAUACACAUUUGGGCAUAUAUAUUGCUAUAUCUGUGAAUAGUUCGAGAAAACUGUAUACAGAUGAGUAGAGGGAAAUAGGAAUAGAGGAAGUCUACCACAACGAAACUAAGUUACAUUAAAUACAUACACCAAAUUUCAGUGAAAUAUUCGGGUUUUAAAUAUAGGGAAACACAGUAAAAUUAAAAGGCAGUCACUUGGAUUGGCCAAUAAUUAUUGACUGCUCCGAACAAUAAAUAUAAACCACUUGCAAGUAAAUAUGACAUAAAUUUGUAGGAAUUAUUUUCAUAUUAAUGCCGAACUGUAAGUGGAAACACUUGCAUUUCAAUAUUUCCACUCUCGGUGCAAAUACAUAUAAUGGCAUACACAUUUAACCCUAGAUGGUCAUGCUUAUUUUUAGUACGUUAAAGUCCGUGCCUUGACGAAACAAUCACAUUUUUUAAAUACUAGUAUAUGAUUCGAAUUAAGGAUACAUUUCGAAGUUCCCUUUCUUUAUAAAAGAAGCGAAGAGAUAUACAUACUUGGUGGUGAGAGUUAGCGCAAAUCUAGAUUUGUGUGUUCUUCUUAAUUUUCAUUUCAGUUAUAAACUUGAAAUGUUUUCUACAACUUUAGCUGAUCAAGUAACUCUUCUCAGCAAAGAAAUAAAUACUUUCGCUCAAGCUUUGAGUAAGUGUUAAAAACAGUAGUUACAGGUGAUCCAAGGACUUGUUGGGCAGACUGCAGCAGCUCAGCAACGGCUGGAGCUGUAUGAAACAUUAGUUCAAAACGACGAAGGCUAAUGGAAAUAAUAGAUGACACAAUCUAGGGUUAAGUCUUAGUUUUAAAAUUUAAGCAAUAACUAAGCAAUAAUUGAAGGUAGGCGUAGAUGAAAUGGAUGCCACCGACAACCAACAAUUACUUCGGGAAUACAUCAUUGUUUGCUAUUUCAAAUGUCAAUGAGACUAGUUGUAUGUUCCAUUCAAUCAUAGAAGUAUUUUUAGCCCGGAAUAAAUAUGUUUUAGAAAACUUAAUUGGCCAGACUGUCCGCCCCUAUACCAAGGUUGGCCUUCAUCCGGAAGAUUGUCAGAGACCACAAGACAAAAGACCUUUUUUGUGAGGUCCUAGGUCGGAGGUGUAAGGGCAAACAGCAUUUGAGUGCUUGCUUCAUUUGGCUCAGGUCUGCCUGCUUCCAGCCCCAGGCGCUUCCCGGUGCGGUCGGUCUGCCCCGGAUCGACCCCAGCACGGCAUCUGGAUAAAGCAAUGUGCAACUAGCCAUGAAGAAGGAGCCAGAGUCCUGCCUGGCACGAGUAUUCAUUGGAGGGCCAGGCAGGACGGACCGGACCGGGCCGUGCCGGGCUGGGCUGGGCCGGGAUGUAGGAGCUACUUAGCAAACAUCAACACCUGUUAAGAGUUACACUCGAGAACAAAGCUGCAAAUUGGCUGGCGGACGCAAGCAACGAGAGAGACAGCUAUAUAACGAGAGAGAGAACGAAAACGGGAACGGGACAGGGAGAGGGAGCUAUGACGAUGGAAAUUUUGCUGACCGCAGGCAAUGGCGAUGUUCCGGGCCAUGACGACGCCAUGGUAAUGGUAGCACAAAGCACGGCAAGGAAGGACGGGGGCCUUAAACUUCAUUAUGAGAUUUGUGUAAUUGUUAACCAAUUUACCGUUACGUUUUGCAUGCCACAAGCCACAGCAGCAGCAACAAAUCCAUUCCAACUGUGCUGCCACUCGCCCUUCAAGGCGAUAACGCUCGUGAUAUAUUGUCCAAAUUAUAAUACCGGAAAUGUUAUUAAUUCAAAAUGCUGCUCAAUUUCGUGCACUUUGUAGGCUGUUGCUGCUUUAGCUCCACGCUGUAGAUGUAAAUGUCGAUUUAGUGAUUGGGCAAACUGCUUCAAACAGCUCAGAUCGUGGUAUUUGUAAUGAGGCUUGCAUCUGCACCGUAUAGAUGUAGCAAUAUAUAUGUAUGUAUAUAUUUUCCAGUGUGCAGUUGCACCUAUCGGUGGUUGCAACUAAAUGAACUAAAUGUUCAGGCAUCCAGAGAAAUCCGCUGAAGCCGACGGCACAGUAGGAUGUGACAGGAAAUGGGAGACUUUUGGUGGAAAAAUAGUUUGAAUAGAAACAAAGAUGGCCUAAGAUAUUCCAUUUGCCAACAGUUAGUAGUGAGUUUCCUUAAUAUGAGAAAAUUUGAUUGGGUUUAUAAAAAGUUACUCCCUCAAUGCUCCACAUCCCAAAAACUGGGAAUCAAGUUAACCAUUAGAACCAUUAGUCGAUAUAACCAUCCAAAUGAAGCAGUAAAAGGACUACACCCUCAAAAAUUAUCGUAUUCAAUUAAACUCUUAAAAUACGAAGUAUGUAGUAAAACUAAAAAGAACUCAGUUAAAAAAUAAAAAAAGUCCAAAUUA
Molecule: long non-coding RNA, 2912 nt
Organism: Drosophila miranda
Lineage: Eukaryota; Metazoa; Arthropoda; Insecta; Diptera; Drosophilidae
Exons: 5
Source: RefSeq, a predicted model, not a curated record